Molecule: non-coding RNA, 84 nt
Organism: Ceratotherium simum simum (southern white rhinoceros)
Lineage: Eukaryota; Metazoa; Chordata; Mammalia; Perissodactyla; Rhinocerotidae
Source: RefSeq, a predicted model, not a curated record
UGUCAUUGAAGUCACCUCAUACUUAACUACAGUCUAGUUUCAAACACUCUACUGCCACGAGGAAAGAAAGCCGCUCGGGGGAUG